AGGCAUCCAGUCCUGAAUAUCGAUCCCCUUACAUGUACGGAUUAACACAGAAUAAUUGUUGUUUCUGAGGCGUUUUGAUAGAGAAUAUAAAUUCCAUAAUAUAAUAAGUUGAAAGAAUUUGCACGCUAGUGGGAUCAUAUAUCUAGAGCAGCAAGAGCAGACUUUCAGGACAUGUAAAACCGAGUUUAAGAAUAGGAUGUCACGAUUGCAUAUUGAUUAAAACAGCUGCCUGCCUUGCUA
Molecule: long non-coding RNA, 240 nt
Filed under: Setaria italica (foxtail millet)
Lineage: Eukaryota; Viridiplantae; Streptophyta; Magnoliopsida; Poales; Poaceae
Description: long non-coding RNA (SITA_LNC004431)
Source: RNAcentral